UCGAGCGGUAAGGCCCUUCGGGGUACACGAGCGGCGAACGGGUGAGUAACACGUGGGUGAUCUGCCUUGCACUUCGGGAUAAGCCUGGGAAACCGGGUCUAAUACCGGAUAUGACCACGAGAUGCAUGUCUUGUGGUGGAAAGAUUUAUCGGUGCGAGAUGGGCCCGCGGCCUAUCAGCUUGUUGGUGAGGUAACGGCUCACCAAGGCGACGACGGGUAGCCGACCUGAGAGGGUGACCGGCCACACUGGGACUGAGACACGGCCCAGACUCCUACGGGAGGCAGCAGUGGGGAAUAUUGCACAAUGGGCGAAAGCCUGAUGCAGCGACGCCGCGUGCGGGAUGACGGCCUUCGGGUUGUAAACCGCUUUUGACAGGGACGAARCGCAAGUGACUGUACCUGUAGAAUAAGGACCGGCCAACUACGUGCCAGCAGCCGCGGUAAUACGUAGGGUCCGAGCGUUGUCCGGAAUUACUGGGCGUAAAGAGCUUGUAGGCGGUUCGUCGCGUCGUUUGUGAAAACUUGGGGCUCAACCUUAAGCUUGCAGGCGAUACGGGCGGACUAGAGUACUUCAGGGGAGACUGGAAUUCCUGGUGUAGCGGUGAAAUGCGCAGAUAUCAGGAGGAACACCGGUGGCGAARGCGGGUCUCUGGGAAGUAACUGACGCUGAGAAGCGAAAGCAUGGGUAGCAAACAGGAUUAGAUACCCUGGUAGUCCAUGCCGUAAACGGUGGGUACUAGGUGUGGGGCUCCUUCCACGGACUCCGUGCCGUAGCUAACGCAUUAAGUACCCCGCCUGGGGAGUACGGCCGCAAGGCUAAAACUCAAAGAAAUUGACGGGGGCCCGCACAAGCGGCGGAGCAUGUGGAUUAAUUCGAUGCAACGCGAAGAACCUUACCUGGGUUUGACAUACACCGGAAACCUGCAGAGAUGUAGGCCCCCUUGUGGUCGGUGUACAGGUGGUGCAUGGCUGUCGUCAGCUCGUGUCGUGAGAUGUUGGGUUAAGUCCCGCAACGAGCGCAACCCUUAUCUUAUGUUGCCAGCGCGUAAUGGCGGGGACUCGUGAGAGACUGCCGGGGUCAACUCGGAGGAAGGUGGGGACGACGUCAAGUCAUCAUGCCCCUUAUGUCCAGGGCUUCACACAUGCUACAAUGGCCGGUACAGAGGGCUGCGAUACCGCGAGGUGGAGCGAAUCCCAAAAAGCCGGUCUCAGUUCGGAUCGGGGUCUGCAACUCGACCCCGUGAAGUUGGAGUCGCUAGUAAUCGCAGAUCAGCAACGCUGCGGUGAAUACGUUCCCGGGCCUUGUACACACCGCCCGUCACGUCAUGAAAGUCGGUAACACCCGAAGCCGGUGG
This 1355-nucleotide ribosomal RNA is filed under the name Nocardia salmonicida. RNAcentral describes it as "bacterial SSU rRNA". It matches the Rfam family "Bacterial small subunit ribosomal RNA", at positions 62 to 1433 of the family's 1533-position model. Lineage: Bacteria; Bacillati; Actinomycetota; Actinomycetes; Mycobacteriales; Nocardiaceae. The record is from RNAcentral.